RNAcentral lists this ribosomal RNA (1372 nucleotides) under uncultured bacterium. RNAcentral describes it as "bacterial SSU rRNA". It matches the Rfam family "Bacterial small subunit ribosomal RNA", at positions 28 to 1381 of the family's 1533-position model. The record is from RNAcentral.
GAUGAACUCUGGCGGCGUGCCUAAUACAUGCAAGUCGAGCGAACAGACAAGGAGCUUGCUCCUUUGACGUUAGCGGCAGACGGGUGAGUAACACGUGGGUAACCUACCUAUAAGACUGGGAUAACUUCGGGAAACCGGAGCUAAUACCGGAUAAUAUUUCGAACCGCAUGGUUCGAUAGUGAAAGAUGGUUUUGCUAUCACUUAUAGAUGGACCCGCGCCGUAUUAGCUAGUUGGUAGGGUAACGGCUUACCAAGGCGACGAUACGUAGCCGACCUGAGAGGGUGAUCGGCCACACUGGAACUGAGACACGGUCCAGACUCCUACGGGAGGCAGCAGUAGGGAAUCUUCCGCAAUGGGCGAAAGCCUGACGGAGCAACGCCGCGUGAGUGAUGAAGGUCUUCGGAUCGUAAAACUCUGUUAUUAGGGAAGAACAUACGUGUAAGUAACUAUGCACGUCUUGACGGUACCUAAUCAGAAAGCCACGGCUAACUACGUGCCAGCAGCCGCGGUAAUACGUAGGUGGCAAGCGUUAUCCGGAAUUAUUGGGCGUAAAGCGCGCGUAGGCGGUUUUUUAAGUCUGAUGUGAAAGCCCACGGCUCAACCGUGGAGGGUCAUUGGAAACUGUAAAACUUGAGUGCAGAAGAGGAAAGUGGAAUUCCAUGUGUAGCGGUGAAAUGCGCAGAGAUAUGGAGGAACACCAGUGGCGAAGGCGACUUUCUGGUCUGUAACUGACGCUGAUGUGCGAAAGCGUGGGGAUCAAACAGGAUUAGAUACCCUGGUAGUCCACGCCGUAAACGAUGAGUGCUAAGUGUUAGGGGGUUUCCGCCCCUUAGUGCUGCAGCUAACGCAUUAAGCACUCCGCCUGGGGAGUACGACCGCAAGGUUGAAACUCAAAGGAAUUGACGGGGACCCGCACAAGCGGUGGAGCAUGUGGUUUAAUUCGAAGCAACGCGAAGAACCUUACCAAAUCUUGACAUCCUUUGACAACUCUAGAGAUAGAGCCUUCCCCUUCGGGGGACAAAGUGACAGGUGGUGCAUGGUUGACGUCAGCUCGUGUCGUGAGAUGUUGGGUUAAGUCCCGCAACGAGCGCAACCCUUAAGCUUAGUUGCCAUCAUUAAGUUGGGCACUCUAAGUUGACUGCCGGUGACAAACCGGAGGAAGGUGGGGAUGACGUCAAAUCAUCAUGCCCCUUAUGAUUUGGGCUACACACGUGCUACAAUGGACAAUACAAAGGGCAGCGAAACCGCGAGGUCAAGCAAAUCCCAUAAAGUUGUUCUCAGUUCGGAUUGUAGUCUGCAACUCGACUACAUGAAGCUGGAAUCGCUAGUAAUCGUAGAUCAGCAUGCUACGGUGAAUACGUUCCCGGGUCU